Molecule: ribosomal RNA, 372 nt
Filed under: uncultured organism
Description: bacterial SSU rRNA
Rfam family: Bacterial small subunit ribosomal RNA
Source: RNAcentral
CGUGAGGGGCUAACGUUGUUCGGUGUCACUGGGCUUAAAGGGUGCGUAGGUGGUUGCGUAAGUAACGUGUGAAAUCCCUCGGCUUACCCGGGGAAUUGCAUGUUAUACUGCGUGGCUUGAGGACUAAAGGGGAAAAGGGAACUCCAGGUGUAGCGGUGAAAUGCGCAGAUAUCUGGGGGAAGGCCGGCGGCGAAGGCGCUUUUCUGGUUAGAUCCUGACACUGAGGCACGAAAGCGUGGGGAGCAAACAGGAUUAGAUACCCUGGUAGUCCACGCCCUAAACGAUGGAUACUACUCAGAAGGACCUGCAAGGGUCUUUUUGACGGAGCAAAAGCGUUAAGUAUCCCGCCUGGGGAGUAUGGUCGCAAGGCUG